This 1060-nucleotide long non-coding RNA is filed under the name Monodelphis domestica (gray short-tailed opossum). Its description in RNAcentral is "lncRNA (ENSMODG00000050486.1)". The record is from RNAcentral. Lineage: Eukaryota; Metazoa; Chordata; Mammalia; Didelphimorphia; Didelphidae.
AUGGGUGGGGUGCCACCCAAAGUUUGGGGCACUUGGGGUGCAGAGCAUGGGGUCCGUGAGUGGGGGUGCACCCCUAGAGUUUGGGGCACUGGGAAGGGUGACUCACCGGCCCCCGCCCUGGCUGGGGCUCCAGGCGCUCCCUCAGCAGCAGAUCCCUCCCAGGCCGCCCGCUCCGCUGCCGCCGCCGCUGCCACCGCAGUUGCCCCACCGGCCCCUCCCCCUGCCCGCCCCGCCCGGCCCCGCCCCGCCCCGGCCUCGCGCCCCGUCGCCCCCUCGCGGUCCACACACACCGCCCUCGCUGGGUUCCAAUGCGCAGGCGCACAAUGCUCUGAUGCGUGCCUUCCCCUUCUCCCUCAACCCGACCCAAGGUGCUGGCGCAGGCGCAGAAGUUCACCCUUCUCUAAUCCUCUUUCCUCUGUCAAUCAACAAACUGCCUUCCAUCCAUCAUCCAGAGGAACAUCCCUAAAGAAGGGUUCUUCCAUCCUAUCCCUGCGACUACCACCUGCUGUGGGGGCAGGCAAGCCAGCCUUGCAGAAGCAAAGAGGACAUGUGCCAGAUGGGUUAAGCCACCUUGACCACCACCUCCUCUCAGGACCUGGAGGAAAGAUCUCCAAAAUCCUGAGCUUAGUCUUGAAUACAGCAAUUCCCCUGCCCCCACCUUGGGUCCUGUCUCCAGACUGGCCCCACAGCAUUAGUCCAGGAAAGCAGCCCCCAUGGAGAUACAAUCUGUCAACUGUCUGUGCAGCCCUCACCUCCUGAGGACCUGGAAUAGAAAGAUCCAACUACCAAGGUCCUUGGCACUGUCCAGUGAUUGAACAGCAGAAACCAAUAGGGUUUUAGUAACAUCACUAGCUGUUAAAGAAAAUAGUUACCAUCUGCUUUGUCAAUGCACCCAAAAGACACCAGAGCCCUUCCAUCUGACUUGCAACUGAAACUUCCUCUUGGAACUGCCUCUUCCUAUUAGAAGGAGAACUGUAUACAAGCAGUAACCAGCUUGUUUUUCUGACGGUAGCCCUAGUGCUUUGCCUAAGCAUUUAAUAAAUGAAUUUUCUUUUAUUCA